UACGUAGGGUGCGAGCGUUGUCCGGAAUUAUUGGGCGUAAAGAGCUCGUAGGCGGUCUGUCGCGUCGAUCGUGAAAACUUGGGGCUUAACUCUGAGCUUGCGGUCGAUACGGGCAUCACUGGAGUUCGGCAGGGGAGACUGGAAUUCCUGGUGUAGCGGUGAAAUGCGCAGAUAUCAGGAGGAACACCGGUGGCGAAGGCGGGUCUCUGGGCCGAUACUGACGCUGAGGAGCGAAAGCGUGGGGAGCGAACAGG
This 254-nucleotide ribosomal RNA is filed under the name uncultured bacterium. RNAcentral describes it as "partial 16S ribosomal RNA". It matches the Rfam family "Bacterial small subunit ribosomal RNA", at positions 524 to 776 of the family's 1533-position model. The record is from RNAcentral.